RNAcentral lists this ribosomal RNA (308 nucleotides) under uncultured eukaryote. Its description in RNAcentral is "partial 18S ribosomal RNA". It matches the Rfam family "Eukaryotic small subunit ribosomal RNA", at positions 1470 to 1796 of the family's 1831-position model. The record is from RNAcentral.
CCCUUAGACGUUCUGGGCCGCACGCGCGCUACAAUGGCAAACUCAGCGAGUCUCCUUUACCGACAGGUAUAGGAAAUCUUUUCAGUGUUUGCCGUGAUGGGGCUAGACCCUUGUAAUUAUUGGUCUCCAACGAGGAAUUCCUAGUAAACGCAGGUCAUUAACCUGCAUUGAUUACGUCCCUGCCCUUUGUACACACCGCCCGUCGCACCUACCGAUUGAAUGGUCCGGUGAAGUCUCCGGACUGAGUACUUUUAGUACUUGGGAAGUUGACUAAACCUUACUAUUUAGAGGAAGGUGAAGUCGUAACA